GAUGAACGCUGGCGGCGUGCCUAAUACAUGCAAGUCGAGCGAACAGAUGAGGAGCUUGCUCCUCUGACGUUAGCGGCGGACGGGUGAGUAACACGUGGAUAACCUACCUAUAAGACUGGGAUAACUUCGGGAAACCGGAGCUAAUACCGGAUAAUAUAUUGAACCGCAUGGUUCAAUAGUGAAAGACGGUUUUGCUGUCACUUAUAGAUGGAUCCGCGCCGCAUUAGCUAGUUGGUAAGGUAACGGCUUACCAAGGCAACGAUGCGUAGCCGACCUGAGAGGGUGAUCGGCCACACUGGAACUGAGACACGGUCCAGACUCCUACGGGAGGCAGCAGUAGGGAAUCUUCCGCAAUGGGCGAAAGCUUGACGGAGCAACGCCGCGUGAGUGAUGAAGGUCUUCGGAUCGUAAAACUCUGUUAUUAGGGAAGAACAAAUGUGUAAGUAACUAUGCACGUCUUGACGGUACCUAAUCAGAGAGCCACGGCUAACUACGUG
Molecule: ribosomal RNA, 497 nt
Filed under: uncultured bacterium
Lineage: Bacteria
Description: partial 16S ribosomal RNA
Rfam family: Bacterial small subunit ribosomal RNA
Source: RNAcentral